AUGGAAUUAGGAGCAGCUGGAGGCUGCGGGGAGCAGCCCUAUAGGGCCGCCCUCCCUCUGAUUCAUUCACUGCGGUUUGGUGUUCCUCGGGGACCCCCGGGGGGGGGCAUGGAGCUGGGGCCGCUUCGCCACCGGGUUCUGGGGAUGCCCCAAAAGACCCUUUCCACCCAUCCCAAUGUCUUCAUUAUGGGGCUGAGGAGGGGGACACCCCGCUUUGAUCACGGUUCCCGCACCCCACAUUGGUGUCGCCAGGUUUGGGGUGCGCCUGGGACGAGCCCCUGGUGCAGGAGCCGGCCCUGCACCCAUGGGUGCUCCCCGGCCGGUGCGGCCCCGUGCGCCAGCAGCCGCCUCCUGCUGAGCCCCCCUAAAUCCCUGCGCUGCAAGGAGCUGGGGAAAGUCCCUGUGGGGUCAGCACCAGAGCCCUACAGCCGCUGGCACCACCGGGGCUGCCCUGACCCCAUAAGCGGCCGAGCGUCGCCUGCUUCUUUGCAGCAUCUCCAAAAACGCGUGCGUCCCCCAGCACCGGUGCCGUGGUGGUCGUGUGGGGGCCAAAAUGGAGCUGGGAGGGGGGAAAUAUGGGAUGGGGGUCCCCAAAACCGCACCCUGCACCCAUUCCUACAAAGGUGCCAUCCUGGGAUCCCGCUGUCCCACCCGCCGUGGGGGCUUUUGGGGCGCUGGUGCCAGGAGACGGCCCCUACCCACGGGGGGCAGGGGACCAUCAGUGGGGUCCUAACCCCAAACUGCGGCCCUAAACCCCAAAGAGCCUUUUGGGGUGCCCUGGGCUCGGCGGCCACGGUGCCCCCAGGGCCGGGUAUGGGGUCAGGAGCCGGGCCGGGGACCUCGGCCACUCGACGGGUGCGGGAGCGAGCCCUGGCCGCCGGCCCGGGAGGGGAGACUUUGGCUUCCUGGACUUUGUUUGGAGAACAAACUCUCCUAAAUAACAGCAGGAUCCAGACAUCCCGGAUCCCAGCGCCAGCGCGCUUCCGUGCCAAGGGACCCGAGCGAGGCGCAGGGAGAGGAUUUUGGGGCCGAAACCCCCUCCUUUUAUGGGGUCGGGGAUCUUGGAGACGCGCAGGGGGUCCCGGUGGGCGUCGGAGACCCCCGGGAGCGGGUGGGUGGCAGCAGCUUGGCCCCCCCCUCCCCGCCCCCCCGGGGGGAUCGUCGGCAUCGAUCCGGAGGAGCGGGGACCGGAGGGGACCCCAUUAA
RNAcentral lists this long non-coding RNA (1206 nucleotides) under Cairina moschata (Muscovy duck). RNAcentral's name for it is "domestica (muscovy Duck (domestic type)) lncRNA (ENSCMMG00000012976.1)". The record is from RNAcentral. Lineage: Eukaryota; Metazoa; Chordata; Aves; Anseriformes; Anatidae.